RNAcentral lists this ribosomal RNA (468 nucleotides) under uncultured bacterium. RNAcentral describes it as "partial 16S ribosomal RNA". It matches the Rfam family "Bacterial small subunit ribosomal RNA", at positions 28 to 507 of the family's 1533-position model. The record is from RNAcentral.
GACGAACGCUGGCGGCGUGCUUAACACAUGCAAGUCGAACGGAAAGGCCCUACUUUUGUGGGGUGCUCGAGUGGCGAACGGGUGAGUAACACGUGAGUAACCUGCCCUUGACUUUGGGAUAACUUCAGGAAACUGGGGCUAAUACCGGAUAGGAGCUCCUGCUGCCUUGUGGGGGGUGGAAAUUUUCGGCGGGUGGGGAUGGACUCGCGGCUUAGCAGUUUGUUGGUGGGGUAGUGGCUUACCAAGGCGUUGGCUGGUAGCCGGCCUGGGGGGGUGACCGCCAACAUGGGGACUGGGGUAGGCCCAAACGCCCAAGGGGAGGCAGCAGGGGGAAGUAUUGCACAAUGGCGCGAAGCCUGAGGAGGCAACCCGGGGGGCGGAAUGACGGCUUUCGGGUGUAAAACCGCUUUCGCAUGGGACGAAGCUUUAGUGACGGUACUUGGUGAAGAAGCACCGGCUAACUACGUG